AGGGCACCACCAGGAGUGGAGCCUGCGGCUUAAUUUGACUCAACACGGGAAAACUCACCCGGCCCGGACACCGUAAGGAUUGACAGACUGAGAGCUCUUUCUUAAUUCGGUGGGUGGUGGUGCAUGGCCGUUCUUAGUUGGUGGAGCGAUUUGUCUGGUUAAUUCCGAUAACGAACGAGACUCAGGCCUAUUAAAAUAGUCGGUGUAUCGCUCAGUACUCCGUACUUUCUUUAGAGGGACCAAGCGGGCGUCUAGCCGGCAUGAGAUUGAGCAAAUAACAGGGUUCUUGUGAUGCCCCUUAAGAAUGUCCGGGGGCUUGCACCGGCGGCGCCUACACUGGAAAGAAGUCUCAGUGUGUGCGGUUCUCCCGCCUAGAGUCGCGGAAGGGACUGGGGUAACCCCCAGGCACCUUCUUUUCGUUGCUUGGGGAUAAGGGAAAUUGCCAAUUAUAUUUCCCCUUUGAAACGAAGGAAUUCCCAGUAAGCCGUUGGGUCAUAAGGCUCGGCGUUGGUUUACGUC
Molecule: ribosomal RNA, 519 nt
Filed under: uncultured eukaryote
Lineage: Eukaryota
Description: bacterial SSU rRNA
Rfam family: Eukaryotic small subunit ribosomal RNA
Source: RNAcentral